Molecule: long non-coding RNA, 962 nt
Organism: Spinacia oleracea (spinach)
Lineage: Eukaryota; Viridiplantae; Streptophyta; Magnoliopsida; Caryophyllales; Amaranthaceae
Exons: 2
Source: RefSeq, a predicted model, not a curated record
UAACAUUUUAUGGUAACACUUUUAAAAUAGGUAACAUAUUAUGGUAACACUUUUCAAAUAGGUAACAUUCUAUGGUAACACUUUUAAAAUAGGUAACAUUUUAUGGUAACACUAAGAAGUGUUACCAUAUUUUUUUAAGAAGGAAAUUAAAUAUUUACAAUGAAAAUAAGGACUAAUCCCAAAAAUCAACUAUUUGUCGCCAAAAGGAAAAAAAGAAUGUGGGUUUUCUAACAUUUAUCAGUUUUUUUAAAAAAAACAAAAACAAAAAGAAGUAGAUUUUUAAAAAAGAAAAUCUCAAAAUACCCAUUUUAUAACCCCAAAUUACGACUGACCAAAGACUCAUCCCAAAGCCAAGAACCCACAUCGCACUUUAUGAAUGUCGCCACUGCCAUUGCCAUUGCCAUUGCCAUCAUCACCGGCCUCGCAACCAUGAAUGACACAUUGAAGCUACCAUUGAACGGAUUGAGAACUGCAAAUCCGGGAUCGGUUUUCAUAAAUAGCUGGUUUCGGGUGAAAUGAAAUGGGGAAUCGAGAUUCGUUUAUUUUAUAGGAGAUGCGUUGUCAAGUGGAGCUUUUAUGCUUUCAUCAUCGAACCUUUCCCUUGCGGGAAUGGGGACAAAAGUAGGUGUCUACACUCAUGUGUUAGGAGCUUGCUUUAACGGUUCAGGAGCUAGGAUUAUGGAAUUUUUUGGCAGCCUACUGACAAUAGGACCAGAUGCUGUAAAUAUCGCUCAUCAAAGGCUCUGAUCGGCUAGAGUUGUUUGUUAUGGGUGUCAGUCUAGUACAUUCUGCGAUGUAAGCCGUGCGGAUCGUUUUGGUUUCUUCUUAUGCAAAUUUGUUGUGUGGUUUUAAGCUGCUAUUUUGCAGGAAUGCUGCAAGUUUUUUGCUCUUUGGAAUUCAUUUGUUUUGUUCGGGGGGGUCCAAGUCUCUUAUUUAAAGCCUCAUUCCACAUAUUUGUUGUA